GUAGCUAUGUGUGGACGGGAUAAGUGCUGAAAGCAUCUAAGCAUGAAGCCCCCCUCAAGAUGAGAUUUCCCAUAGCGCAAGCUAGUAAGAUCCCUGAAAGAUGAUCAGGUUGAUAGGUCAGAGGUGGAAGCACGGCGACGUGUGUAGCUGACUGAUACUAAUCGAUCGAGGACUUAACCAA
This 181-nucleotide non-coding RNA is filed under the name Priestia veravalensis. Its description in RNAcentral is "Bacillus sp. SGD-V-76 Bacterial large subunit ribosomal RNA". It matches the Rfam family "Bacterial large subunit ribosomal RNA", at positions 2745 to 2925 of the family's 2925-position model. The record is from Rfam by way of RNAcentral. Lineage: Bacteria; Bacillati; Bacillota; Bacilli; Caryophanales; Bacillaceae.